RNAcentral lists this ribosomal RNA (500 nucleotides) under uncultured bacterium. RNAcentral's name for it is "bacterial SSU rRNA". It matches the Rfam family "Bacterial small subunit ribosomal RNA", at positions 28 to 514 of the family's 1533-position model. The record is from RNAcentral.
GACGAACGCUGGCGGCGCGCUUAACACAUGCAAGUCGAGCGAGAACCAGGACUUCGGCCCUGGGGACAGCGGCGAACGGGUGAGUAACACGUGGGUAAUCUGCCCUCGGUUCCGGGAUAGCCCGGGGAAACUCGGAUUAAUACCGGAUAGCCUCACGAGCCUUCGGGGGAGUGAGAAAAGGUAGCUUUGGCCUCUGACCGAGGAUGAGCCCGCGGUGGAUUAGCUUGUUGGCGGGGUAACGGCCCACCAAGGCGACGAUCCAUAGCUGGUCUGAGAGGACGAUCAGCCACACUGGGACUGAGACACGGCCCAGACUCCUACGGGAGGCAGCAGUGGGGAAUCUUGCGCAAUGGGCGAAAGCCUGACGCAGCGACGCCGCGUGGGGGAAGAAGGCCUUAGGGUUGUAAACCUCUUUCAGGUGGGACGAAGCCACUCGGGUUAAUAGCCCCAGAGGGUGACGGUACCGCCAGAAGAAGCCCCGGCUAACUACGUGCCAGCCG